GAAGAAGAGGAAACGUAUCAUCAACCGAGGAGAUUCUUCAAGUGACAAUGCUGAAAAAGAGGAUGAAGCAAAUUUGAGCCAGGACGUGAUGGUACUGCCCCUAAUUCUCCUGUUUCUGGCCCCAGCAACGUCUUUUAAGAUGGUAGAUUUGAGCAGAACAUCUGGUAUUGCGCCAAUCAAGAUACAGAAUUAUCAUAUCAUUAAAGAAACUUUUACCUUUGUUCAUAAUAUUAAUACUAGUUAUUUACGUUUAGAAUUAAGUAAUAUUGAAAAAUUUGUUGAUUUUCUCGCUAAAAGGAAUAAUAUUGAUAAGAGUCGCUUAAGUAUGAUGAAAUUGAAUUUGAAAUACACUAAGAAUAAAUUGAAUGAGAUUCAAUCAGUUAAUUAUAGGCAGAAAAGAGGUCUUUUUAAUGGUUUAGGAUCCGCGAUUUCGUGGAUCACUGGGAACAUGGAUGCUGAUGAUGAGGAAAGAUAUGACAACAUUUUGCAGACAGUCCAAUCUAAUAAAUAUCAUCUUAGUAACAAUGUAGACAAGCAAUUUGCUGUAAAUCAGAAAUUAAUUAACGAUUUCAAUAAUGAGAUGAAAGUAAUCAGAGCGAAUAAUCUAAAAAUCAGCAAUUACUUUUAUUCUUUGUUCAAUGAAUCCAACCGAAUGGAAAUGAAUCAGCAAUCCUCUUUGUUAUUCGACUCGCUCCUGCUUCUAUGAAACGUUUUUUCUAUUGUCUUAUCCUGUCAUUGUCGGUAACGAAAUUUUAACAACUAUUGCGCAUCCUUCUUUUGUUCUUCGAAAUGACAAAUUAUUUUCUGGAAAUUGUGAACUCAUUUAUGAUGAUUAUUAUUGUAGUGCAGUAAGCGAACUUAAUGAUAUAUGUAUUGAGCAAUUAUUAAAUGAUAGAAAUCUAGACGGAUGUAGUAAGGUAGUUUUGAAAGACAGAGAUUCUUUCAUAAAAUAUGUAGAAAUAGUUGAUAGUUUUAUAUUAUUUAAUUUUAGUACAUGUAUGGUUCUGAAUACUGAUUUGAACAAGAAUAUUACUCUUUUUCUUAAUAAGAAAACGCAAUUGUUGAAAAUUAAUAGCUCAGAAACACUGAUUGGUUACUACAAACCAAAUAUAUUUUGGGAAAACUAAAUUGUACUUCCAACUGAAUUUGUAGAAAACAAACGACUAUCCAACUUCAACUUUGAUCAAGUACAUACUGCUAAUAUAAAUUUUCAAAAACUUGAUGUUCUAGAUGAGCUACCUCUGACUGAUAAUCGAAACCUAUGUAUUAUUCUAUUGCUUAUUUUUACUGUAAUUUUAUUGAUUGUUAUAAUAUUUCUCAGACGGCUGCUUAUCUGGCACAAACUUUGUAACUUAAUCUGUUCUAAAUCUGAAGUUGAAAAUGAUAGUGUGCAGCGUGAACUAGAACAAAUAUGCCCCAGACUACCAUGUACUUAGUUUAUAAUAAUUUAAAUAUAUAUAUAUAUUUUUUUCUUUUUUUGAAGCUGAGGGCAGCUUCACUCUUAGUGGGGAGGAGUUACAUCUGGUAACACCUAAUAUUAUUGCUGACGCUGUAUUCCAUUGUAAUGCUCGAUCAUAGUACUUUUAGUCAGUCUACUGCCAAACUUCACCGAGAGCACUUCUCUCUUAUUCGCUAUAUAUUUUAUAAUUAUGUAUUUGUAAAUAAAGUUUUCUUUUUAAAAA
This 1682-nucleotide long non-coding RNA is filed under the name Nilaparvata lugens (brown planthopper). Its description in RNAcentral is "uncharacterized LOC120350442". Lineage: Eukaryota; Metazoa; Arthropoda; Insecta; Hemiptera; Delphacidae. The record is from RNAcentral.